GACCUUAAGCCGAUUGGUAUUCCUCAAUCGCGGCACGAGGGGAGACUAAGUGGAAAAGGCAAGAUCGGAAGGGAAUCCACGAUAUGUAUGGACGGUCAUUCUAUGACUGAAGCACACCACACAGUUCUGCAAAAUUCCAGCUUGGUGGCUCCGUACUUCGAGCAACACAAGAAUAUUUUACGCUCGGACAACCCGGGGAAGCCUGAAUCCUGGAUUAGAAAGGCCCACAUGGAGACUUUCGGCAGUUGGUUGCGAAAACAUUUAAUGAAUGACAAUGAUGUUGGAGAUCAGCUGUACAUGUUGGCCAAGAAACCAUCUUCGACUAUAACGACUUUCCAAGGGUACGAGAUAAAUGGGAAUACAUUUUACACCAUCGCCCAAGAUAAAAAAAGCACCAACCAAAACAGUGGUGUCCGCUUUGAUGCAGCAACCGAGAAUGGGCAAAAGGUC
This 450-nucleotide ribosomal RNA is filed under the name Triticum aestivum (bread wheat). Its description in RNAcentral is "partial small subunit ribosomal RNA". The record is from RNAcentral. Lineage: Eukaryota; Viridiplantae; Streptophyta; Magnoliopsida; Poales; Poaceae.